RNAcentral lists this ribosomal RNA (511 nucleotides) under uncultured bacterium. Its description in RNAcentral is "bacterial SSU rRNA". It matches the Rfam family "Bacterial small subunit ribosomal RNA", at positions 29 to 527 of the family's 1533-position model. The record is from RNAcentral.
AUUGAACGCUGGCGGCAUGCCUAACACAUGCAAGUCGAACGGCAGCACGGUCUGGUUUACCAGAUGGGUGGCGAGUGGCGAACGGGUGAGUAAAGCGUAGGAAUAUACCUUAAAGAGGGGGAUAACCUGGGGAAACUCAGGCUAAUACCGCGUAAACUCUGCGGAGCAAAGCUGGGGACCGAAAGGCCUGGCGCUUUAAGAAUAGCCUGCGUCCGAUUAGCUAGUUGGUGGGGUAAAGGCUCACCAAGGCGACGAUCGGUAGCUGGUCUGAGAGGACGAACAGCCACACUGGGACUGAGACACGGCCCAGACUCCUACGGGAGGCAGCAGUGGGGAAUAUUGGACAAUGGGGGGAACCCUGAUCCAGCAAUGCCGCGUGUGUGAAGAAGGCCUGAGGGUUGUAAAGCACUUUCAGUGGGGAGGAGGAUUACUAGGUUAAGAGCCAGGUAAUUGGACGUUACCCACAGAAGAAGCACCGGCUAACUCCGUGCCAGCAGCCGCGGUAAUGUCG